GAUGCUCUUCACACCAGGGUAACAGCAGGUCUGGCGGAACGAGAGAAACUUUUUUGCUGAAGACACACCACAGACGCCGGGACUUGAAAGAACCCCUUUGAUUCUUUCUUUGACUCAACAGAGCCAAGAAAGCAGGUUGGGGAAAACAAUAACUUGAAGAACCUGGAUAAAGUUAAUCCUUAACUUGAGACCAUUAAAGCCAGGAAAUGGAGGUCUUGGGCUUAAUCACAGAUUGAAGAGACAGUAAAUGUGGUAAUUAAAAGAAAGUAAACAGUCAACAAACACAAUGAAAUGAUAGCAACUAAAUGACAUUUAAAAUUUGGUGCCGACCUACCUGACACCUGGGAACCAAGUGAGGCUGUACGUGUAACAGGAGAUUCCCGUGCCGGAUCCCCUGCACACCAGAUGGUUUAUGGCUUGGUGAAGACAGUUGUCGGGUACCAACUUGCGUUUAGGAAGUCUCCUUCAGCUCAAGACCAUCCUGGUAGAAUUACCACAGGAAACCUGGACACGAAGAAGGGGUGCUCAAGAAAUCUGAUUUACACACGAAGCAGUAAACACUCAGUAAUGACAGAACCAACACAGGAUCAGAAUUGGCCCGUUUGACCUUGCAAAGCAGUACCAGUGGGCGCGGUUCACGGAACUCCUAAAGUGGAUAUUGAUUGAGCUGUUUUGAAAGUCGAACAUUCAGAACUUUUGACGCCACCAUUGACCAAAUCGGCCUCAUUGAUUCCAUGGUGAACGACAGUGGUAGAACAAUCGUGGGGAAGUAAACGAGGCACUGAGGACAGGACCAGAGAGGCCCCUGCAGCAUGCAGUGCCACCCUCCCACGCGCACAGGAUCCAGACUCUUUUAUCCUAAAGCCCAGGAAUCCAAAUUAUGAUUGGGGGUGUGGUGAGAAAAAAGUACAUUUUGAUGAAAAUCCAAUUAAAAGCGCGAUUAAUUGGGCACUUGGCUCGAUGACUUUAAGGAGAUGAGGAUGAAUCAAAUAGGCUCUGUGCCCUGAAGGAAUUUACAAGGGAGUGGGGGUGGGUAGGUAGGAGCAAAAUAAACAACAAAGGGAUGAGUCCAGGUUUCCAUGGGAAGAUUAGAUUGAGAUCAAGGCAGAUAACCUGGAAGGAAUAUUGGAGUUACUUGCCACUGGCUUGGACCAAGGAAACCUGAGAAGAGGCAGACCACGAGAGAUGUUCUGGUUGACACCUGCACUCCACCCCACCCUCCAAUAUGCUUUGCUGCCCAAAACGAAAUUGGAAAACUUUGGUAAGGGGUGACUUUCCUUCGUAAAUCAUAUUUAAAUGAGACAGCUGUAUUUUUCUGCUUCAUGCUUAGCCAAAUACUAUUUAAUUAACCUACUUAGACUUGUUGAUUGAGGUUAAUUAGACCCUAGGAUUGAUGUUAAUUGCCAUUGUAAACUGCCAAAGCUAUAAGCAGUACAUUUUGGAUUUGGUUUAAAAAAAAAAUGAGGUAGAGGUCUAUUUUCUUCGCUUGCUUGCUUUUGGUCUCUCUCCCUCCUUUAAGAUAAAAAGGCAUCCCCCCUUCCCUAAUUGUGCUGUCCUUUGUUUUUGUUGUGGUUGAUGGGUGGAUGGGUUACUGAAGGGUCUGUUUCCUUUUGGUCAAGAAUUCUUUAGACAUAGAGGCAGUCCCUUUCUCUUG
This is a non-coding RNA of Delphinapterus leucas (beluga whale), 1654 nucleotides long. Lineage: Eukaryota; Metazoa; Chordata; Mammalia; Artiodactyla; Monodontidae. The record is from RefSeq and is a predicted model, not a curated record.